RNAcentral lists this long non-coding RNA (808 nucleotides) under Crocodylus porosus (Australian saltwater crocodile). RNAcentral's name for it is "lncRNA (ENSCPRG00005018034.1)". Lineage: Eukaryota; Metazoa; Chordata; Crocodylia; Crocodylidae. The record is from RNAcentral.
AUCCAGUCAGCUGCUUAGUCACUCUCUCUUUUUUCAUCUUCUAGAUCUGAAAAUGUAUUGCUUUCCUUUUGCUUUUUUUUUCUGAAGAAAGAAAUCCCUUUUGAUCUAUAAAUAGCUGCACAAGGUAAAACUAUGGGGCAAUCUUAAAAAUAUAUUAUAGAGAUGUCAGUUGUGACUCCAUAGCUAAGGUUGUGUUGAGAUCUGAACUUAAAAUUAAGACUAAUGUUCCUCUGCUUCACACUCAGAAGAUUACAUUUAGUGCCCAAAUUUGGCUCAGUAAGUCGUCUGAUGACAAUUGAAUUUUCUGCAUGGUAAUUCAAUACAGUAAUUUACUAACUUUUACUAGAGGAAACAUUUAAAAUUGCUCCCUUUUUGAAAUAUUCUCUUGUUUACUUACACGCACAUACAUUUUGAUAUUAUUACAGGUGUUACCCACUUUUGAACUUUGAAAAUUAAUGACAUUACAAGCUCUUUGCUUUAUUCAAAAUUAUUAUUUUGAGCUACCCAAAGAUUAGCCAGAGGAACUGCUCAGAUCUGUCAGCUGCUUCCGUUUUUCCAAUGCUGUCGGCCUGUUGUCUUAAUUCACCAGCUGUGCACUGCAUGUACCCCAGGUGGGAUGGGAGACAAAAGGAGCAUGGAAUAGAAACUGACCUCCUCAGACACUGAGUCAAGUUUGCUGCUACACAUAUGGACUGAGACGCUCACUCCGAGCCACUUCCUUCCACAUCGCGGACCACUGUAACGGUUAUGUGUGUAUCUAUCUUCUUUCCCUCUCAGCGUCGCGAUCCCCCCUCCCCCCUCCCCCUUC